GCGGAAGUGGUGGAAUUGGUAGACGCGCUAGGUUCAGGACCUAGUGCCCGCAAGGGUGUGGGGGUUCGAGUCCCCCCUUCCGCA
This 84-nucleotide transfer RNA is filed under the name Chitinivibrionales bacterium. RNAcentral's name for it is "tRNA-Leu". It matches the Rfam family "tRNA". Rfam says of the family: Transfer RNA (tRNA) molecules are approximately 80 nucleotides in length. Their secondary structure includes four short double-helical elements and three loops (D, anti-codon, and T loops). Further hydrogen bonds mediate the characteristic L-shaped molecular structure. tRNAs have two regions of fundamental functional importance: the anti-codon, which is responsible for specific mRNA codon recognition, and the 3' end, to which the tRNAs corresponding amino acid is attached (by aminoacyl-tRNA synthetases). tRNAs cope with the degeneracy of the genetic code in two manners: having more than one tRNA (with a specific anti-codon) for a particular amino acid; and 'wobble' base-pairing, i.e. permitting non-standard base-pairing at the 3rd anti-codon position. The record is from RNAcentral. Lineage: Bacteria; Pseudomonadati; Fibrobacterota; Chitinivibrionia; Chitinivibrionales.